GCUCCCUGGUUGAUCCUGCCAGUAGUCAUAUGCUUGUCUCAAAGAUUAAGCCAUGCAUGUCUCAGUGCAAGCCGAAGUAAGGUGAAACCGCGAAUGGCUCAUUAAAUCAGUUAUGGUUCCUUUGAUGGUGGACAGUUACUUGGAUAACUGUGGCAAUUCUAGAGCUAAUACAUGCAACCGAGUCCCGACCGGCAACGGGAGGGACGCACUUAUUAGAUCAAAACCAAUCGGGCGCUCGCGUCCGUUGGCCUUGGUGACUCUGAAUAAGCUGUGGCGGAUCGCACGGUCUCCGAACCGGCGACGCAUCUUUCAAAUGUCUGCCUUAUCAACUGUCGAUGGUAGGUUCUGCGCCUACCAUGGUCGUAACGGGUGACGGGGAAUCAGGGUUCGAUUCCGGAGAGGGAGCCUGAGAAACGGCUACCACAUCCAAGGAAGGCAGCAGGCGCGCAAAUUACCCACUCCCGGCACGGGGAGGUAGUGACGAAAAAUAACGAUACGGGACUCAUCCGAGGCCCCGUAAUCGGAAUGAGAACACUUUAAAUCCUUUACCGAGGAACGAUUGGAGGGAAAGUCUGGUGCCAGCAGCCGCGGUAAUUCCAGCUCCAAUAGCGUAUAUUAAAGUUGUUGCGGUUAAAAAGCUCGUAGUCUGACUUGUGUCGCACCCUGCCGGUUCACGGUCCGUCCGUGUUCAACUGGCAUGCUAGGUGACGACGUCCUGCCGGUGGCCCGACCCGGCCCGGGGCGGUGCGGCGCGACCUCUCGCUUUUUCAACGAAGCGGGCGGCCGCCGCGCUCCCGGUCCCGGCGAGGGCCUGCUUCAUACCCGUCGCGGGUGCUCUUAACCGAGUGUCUCGAUGGGCCGGCACGUUUACUUUGAACAAAUUAGAGUGCUUAAAGCAGGCAGUCCCCGCCUGAAUACAGAGUGCAUGGAAUAAUGGAAUAGGACCUCGGUUCUAUUUUGUUGGUUUUCGGAAUCCCCGAGGUAAUGAUCAAUAGGGACAGACGGGGGCAUUCGUAUUGCGACGUUAGAGGUGAAAUUCUUGGAUCGUCGCAGGACGGACCGAAGCGAAAGCAUUUGCCAAGAAUGUUUUCUCUGAUCAAGAACGACAGUCAGAGGUUCGAAGGCGAUCAGAUACCGCCCUAGUUCUGACCAUAAACGAUGCCAGCCAGCAAUCCGCCGAAGUUCCUCCGAUGACUCGGCGGGCGGCUUCCGGGAAACCAAAGCUUUUGGGUUCCGGGGGAAGUAUGGUUGCAAAGCUGAAACUUAAAGGAAUUGACGGAAGGGCACCACCAGGACUGGAGCCUGCGGCUUAAUUUGACUCAACACGGGGAACCUCACCAGGCCCGGACACCGGGAGGAUUGACAGAUUGAGAGCUCUUUCUUGAUUCGGUGGGUGGUGGUGCAUGGCCGUUCUUAGUUCGUGAAUUGAUUUGUCUGGUUAAUUCCGAUAACCGAACGAGACUCUAGCCUGCUAACUAGUCGUUUCGGUAUCCUCUGCGCUACCGGCGACUCCUGAUCUUCUUAGAGGGACGGGCGGCUUUCAGCCGCACGAGAUUGAGCAAUAACAGGUCUGUGAUGCCCUUAGAUGCCCUGGGCAGCACGCGCGCUACACUGAAGGAAUCAGCGUGUCGUUUCCCUGUCCGAAAGGUCCGGGUAACCCGCUGAAUCUCCUUCGUGCUAGGGAUUGGGGUUUGCAAUUUUUCCCCAUGAACGAGGAACUCCCAGUAAGCGCGAGUCAUCAGCUCGCGCUGAUUACGUCCCUGCCCUUUGUACACACCGCCCGUCGCUACUACCGAUUGAAUCGUCAAGCGAGGUCUUCGGACCGCCGGGCGGGGCGGCGACGCCUCGAUGCCGGUGGGAAGAUGCCCAAACUUGAUAAUUUAGAGGAAGUAAAAGUCGUAACAAGGUUACCGUAGGUGAACCUGUGGUAGGAUCAUUA
RNAcentral lists this ribosomal RNA (1939 nucleotides) under Sorineuchora formosana. RNAcentral's name for it is "SSU rRNA". It matches the Rfam family "Eukaryotic small subunit ribosomal RNA". The record is from RNAcentral. Lineage: Eukaryota; Metazoa; Arthropoda; Insecta; Blattodea; Pseudophyllodromiidae.